UACGAACCGUACAAACGUUAUUCGGAAUCACUGGGCUUAAAGGGUGCGUAGGCGGCCAUGUAAGUGAGGUGUGAAAUCCCUCGGCUCAACCGAGGAACUGCGCUUCAUACUGCAUGGCUUGAGGGAGACAGGGGUAAGCGGAACUGAUGGUGGAGCGGUGAAAUGCGUUGAUAUCAUCAGGAACACCGGUGGCAAAAGCGGCUUACUGGGUCUCUUCUGACGCUGAGGUACGAAAGCUAGGGUAGCGAACGGG
RNAcentral lists this ribosomal RNA (253 nucleotides) under uncultured bacterium. Its description in RNAcentral is "partial 16S ribosomal RNA". It matches the Rfam family "Bacterial small subunit ribosomal RNA", at positions 524 to 776 of the family's 1533-position model. The record is from RNAcentral.